GAGUUUGAUCCUGGCUCAGGACGAACGCUGGCGGCGCGCUUCAUCCAUGCAAGUCGAACGAACCCGAGACUUCGGUCUCAAUGGGAAAGUGGCGAACGGGUGAGUAACACGUGAGAAACCUACCCCGGAGAUGGGAAUAGCCCAGGGAAACCUGGAUUAAUACCCGAUAUCCUGCCUGCACCUCAUGGUGCGUUCAGGAAACGCUCCGGUGCUCCGGGAGGGUCUCGCGGCCUAUCAGCUUGUUGGUGAGGUAAUGGCUCACCAAGGCAUCGACGGGUAGCUGGUCUGAGAGGACGAUCAGCCACACUGGGACUGAGACACGGCCCAGACUCCUACGGGAGGCAGCAGGAGGGAAUAUUGCGCAAUGGGCGAAAGCUGACGCAGCGACGCCGCGUGGGGGAAGAAGGCCUUCGGGUCGUAAACCCCUUUCAGCAGGGACGAAAUUGACGGUACCUGCAGAAGAAGCGCCGGCCAACUACGUGCCAGCAGCCGCGGUAAUACGUAGGGCGCAANGUUGUCCGGAUUCAUUGGGCGUAAAGGGCUCGUAGGCGGUUUGGUAAGUCGGGUGUGAAAACUCAGGGCUCAACUCUGAGACGCCACUCGAUACUGCCAUGACUAGAGUCCGGUAGGGGAGUGUAGAAUUCCUGGUGUAGCGGUGAAAUGCGCAGAUAUCAGGAGGAAUACCGAUAGCGAAGGCAGCACUCUGGGCCGGUAC
Molecule: ribosomal RNA, 715 nt
Filed under: uncultured bacterium
Lineage: Bacteria
Description: bacterial SSU rRNA
Rfam family: Bacterial small subunit ribosomal RNA
Source: RNAcentral